This 961-nucleotide long non-coding RNA is filed under the name Equus caballus (horse). RNAcentral describes it as "lncRNA (ENSECAG00000044205.1)". Lineage: Eukaryota; Metazoa; Chordata; Mammalia; Perissodactyla; Equidae. The record is from RNAcentral.
GCUGGUUCAGGAUCCACACUUUGAGAACCACUGCACUGUUACUGUCUUCCAUGGGCUACGUGCCUACCUCAUAGUAGGUCUUUCACGAAUGUUUGUUGGAAAGAUAAAUUGGAUAACUGUGGCAGAAGGAAAGCUGGUGGUUUCUCUGUGCUGGAUGCUGGGGACGUUGCCAUGACAAGACAAACCACCUCUGUCCUCAUGGAGCCUAUGCUCAGGGAGAAAUACAAAACUUCCAGCAAGGAAAUGAGGACCUCAGCUCUAACCAACCACAAGGAAUUGAGUUCUGCCAACAGCCUGGAUGAGCUUGGAAGCAGACACCUCCCCUGAACUUCCAGCGAUUACCCAGCAAGGCAAGCACUGUUGGGUGCUGGUCCUCACAAAGUCAGGAGUGCACGCAGGAUGCUGACAUAGGUGGGCUGCCCAUGAAGAGUCCGUGGACGUGACAGUGAGCCCUGAAAAUUAUGGGCACAGUUUGAGUCACCGCCUUUUUCCACGGAGAGGAUCUUCAGCAUUUGAGAGCUCUUCAGACUCCACUGUAUCAGCUGGGAUCUUGGAUGCAAAUGAGAGGAGCCGAACUGAGCUCUCUGACCCACACCUUCUGUCUCAGCCACACCUCGGAGGGGUCCUGAGAGGCCUCAGGACAGCCGGAGGCAGGACUGCAGCACUUCAGUCUCUGUGGGUUUCCGUGGGUCAGCUUCAUUCUCUCCAGCCACCGGCAGCUGCAGACUCAUCCUGACAGCUGCCUCCCUCCCAGGUGGAUGCAGGUGUGAAAAUCUCAGGGAGAGACACUCACUGGCCCAGCUGGCGUCAAUGCUGCUGGCGUGGCUCAGGUUCCCUGGGAGCAGAGCCUGUGAAGAGGCUGUGUGCUCAAGUCACUUAUGAUGAAAGUGCCCUCAGGAGAAAGGGAAGGGGAAAGCAGGACGGGGACAGCGAAAGAAGCCAAGCAAAGGCACGAUUUCAG